GUACACUCCUACGGGAGGCAGCAGUGAGGAAUAUUGGACAAUGGGUGGAAGCCUGAUCCAGCCAUCCCGCGUGCAGGAAGACGGCCCUAUGGGUUGUAAACUGCUUUUAUCUGGGGAUAAACCUACUUACGUGUAAGUAGCUGAAGGUACCAGAAGAAUAAGCACCGGCUAACUCCGUGCCAGCAGCCGCGGUAAUACGGAGGGUGCAAGCGUUAUCCGGAUUUAUUGGGUUUAAAGGGUCCGUAGGCGGACUGAUAAGUCAGUGGUGAAAUCCGACAGCUUAACUGUCGAACUGCCAUUGAUACUGUUAGUCUUGAGUAAGGUUGAAGUGGCUGGAAUAAGUAGUGUAGCGGUGAAAUGCAUAGAUAUUACUUAGAACACCAAUUGCGAAGGCAGGUCACUAAGUCUUAACUGACGCUGAUGGACGAAAGCGUGGGGAGCGAACAGGAUUAGAAACCCGUGUAGUCCCAUGA
This 473-nucleotide ribosomal RNA is filed under the name uncultured organism. RNAcentral's name for it is "partial 16S ribosomal RNA". It matches the Rfam family "Bacterial small subunit ribosomal RNA", at positions 331 to 800 of the family's 1533-position model. The record is from RNAcentral.